GGCAGCCUGCCGCGUGGAGAAGCUCUCCGUCUUUUUCUUCUUCGUUCAAGAAAUCCCGUCUUUCAAGCUUUGCAUGAGCCGCAAUAAAUGUCAUUUUUUGAGCCCUUUCGCGGCCCGCACUUGAGUUCCUAUGCAUACAAUUGCAAACCCAUUUCAUGGAAGACCGAUUGCACUUGAACCCACAAGAGGUCGCAUGGAGGAAGAUAAGCCUGACUGCAACCUUGCCUAAUGCUUUAUAUUCACUCAGGCAAGUUUCCCACACUAACCUGCUGCCCUGCGGAUGUGCAAUUUUCAUCUUUCCAGUCGAGGGGUCCCUCUGUUUAACCUGAACAGCCUGGGCAUACAGUGGAUCUAGCCCUUCUGAUCUCCAUUUCAUUAGCUCCAUUAAGGCAACAUGAGCUUCUUCCCUAGAAACCAGUCGGGUUAUAAGCUGGUCGACAUGUUUCUCCUGCUCAUGUGUCAAGCACUUGAAUGGAGGAAGGUACUUUCCACUUGCGUCCCUCAUCAAGUAAAGCGGGUCAAGUAUAAAUGCAGCAGACCAUGCUGGGUGGUAGUUCUUUCUGAAUCUCUUUUCUACUAUUUUCUCCAUUUUCUCAACGUGUCCAUCAACAAUGUUGAAUCUGGCAGACCAAUCCUUCACUUUUGCUUUCAAGUCCUCCCAAAGAGGGAGGCACUGCCCUAUAAAUGGCCGCUCCACCUCAAUCUCAUGGGCCAUCUCUCUGAUGAGCUUCAUUAGUGAAUAAACUGCCUCCAAAUCAUUCCAAAACCCCUCAUUUUGAAUCAUUCCAGCAAUUUCCUCAGCAACAGAAUCC
RNAcentral lists this unclassified non-coding RNA (812 nucleotides) under Hevea brasiliensis (rubber tree). Lineage: Eukaryota; Viridiplantae; Streptophyta; Magnoliopsida; Malpighiales; Euphorbiaceae. The record is from RNAcentral.